This is a non-coding RNA of Paramisgurnus dabryanus, 2971 nucleotides long. The record is from RefSeq and is a predicted model, not a curated record. NCBI's taxonomy places the organism in Eukaryota, Metazoa, Chordata, Actinopteri, Cypriniformes, Cobitidae.
ACUACAAAUUUUAAAUUAAUUUGUAACAUGACAUUUCAUUGGGAAAUGGCUACAAACGGAUGCACCCUACACAGGGAGAGUUCACAGAGAUAACGUCUAAGAGCUGCUGUUGUUCAACAUUUAUCUAAAUAGCCUACACUAUUAUCUGCUGGUGAAGAAAUGAUUUGGUCAGAAAUAUUGACAACAUUUGCAGUGAUUACAAUAAAUUCAACAUAAAGUUAUUAACAUUAAACACAUGUUCAAAGUGAAAUAAAUUAAAAUAUAAGUUUGUCUAUUUAAUGAUAAGGCAGGUUACUACCUUGUCUCCUCCUGACAUAAACACUGAUGCAAGGCAAACAUACUGUAUCUCUCAGCCAAUAAAUACUAACAGGUCUGAUAAUGAUAAAUAAAUAACAAUGGCUAUGGAGACAAAAACACAAGGUAAACAAAAUACACAGAGUAUACAGAGAAUAACACUAAAUAAUCUCUCUUUUAGUAUAAGUAAAUUAUAAUAAUAUAAUACACUGGCAGUGAUACUAUACAAGUGGAUGCUAUAUAAACUGAUUGUCACAGAUGCUAUUGGCUACUGUCAAGGGUAAACGGACACAAUCAGCCUAUUGGCUGCAAACAGUGAUGGAUGCUAUCCACACAAAGUGUAAAUAGUUAUGUGGCAGUUGUAUUAAAUGCAAAUGGCCUGAGGAAUAAUGGGUGGGGUGAGUGUAAACAACCUAUGCCAACAAAGCACUAAUAUAUUUCAAGUCCUGUGAACGAUAGAAAAGAUCAUUAUGGCAGUUUAUAGCCAUAUUUGUCAUCUGUAUGUGUUACAUUACAGGACAGCCAAAACAGCUACAUAACUGGUAAGUUUUCAUAAGAUGUUUAUAUACUUUUCAAUUAGUUAAACUUGUGGCUAAUAAUACACAAGUACACAAGAACUCUAACCAUUUGUAAAUAAUGUAUAGUUUAAAGUUUUAGUGUGUACUAAUACUCAUGAGCUCUUAUAAACUAAAGGAAACAACUUUACAUUAAUUAAUGGAGUGGCCAUUCAGAAUUGCCAUGUUGAUGUAUAGUGGCAUUUUGGAGCAGGGCCGGCCCAUAGGGUUAUGGGGCCUUAGGAGAGACCAUGGGUUAGGGGAAGGGAAUAUACAGUUUGUACAGUACAAAACCAUUAUGGCUAUGGAAUUUGUUUUUUAGCACCAGUGACCUCCAUUUCAUUUGUUUUACAUUUUGAAUUCUGGCUUUCAACAUUUGCAAUGUUUCUAGUUGCAUCUUCAGUGAUUUUGCAGCUGUUUGCCUUGUCUGAAGAGAUUUCUCAACCAGGGGGAUUUCCAAGGAGGCCUUAACAUUACUUAAAAUUAUUCAAAUAAGACAACACGGCCAUUAAAAUAAGCUCAAAGAAGCAACGAUCAUUAUUUUUUUUUUUUCAUUUUUUGUAGUGAAUAUAAAUCUUUCUAGUCUUACCAAGCUAGUUCAUUUUUAUGUGGAAAAAAUUGAAUGAGUGAGGGGGCUUCAAUUAUUACUUCACAGUGCUAUUUUCUGAUUGGCUAUAGCCUCUUUCUUUUCUUUUUUUGGAUUGGCUCGCUCGACUCUCCCGAUUGCCACUUCGCUACUGUCAUCAUCAUUCAAACCUGACGACGAACCUUGUUGUGUUGUCUUAGUGAUGAGUAAUGGAAUGACUGUCUGUCACGUGACAUCUACCGGUAAGCAAAACUUGUUGUGCGUGUGCAAUCUGUAUGCAGUGGCGUAGCAAGUGAGUCCCAGGCCCAUAUGCAAAAAAAAAAUGUAUGGGUCCCCUUAAGCCAAAGCCACCCACAACCUUGCCCGUUGGCACUGUUAACUGUGGCGUUAAAUAUGUGACGAUAUGAAGGGGGAGGAGAUUUAUACUGCAUUCAGCAAAUUAUGUGAGCAACAUGUACAUGUUUGUGUUUUUCAGAGAAAAUGUUUAUGUGUGGUUUUUGAACAAGCAAAAUUUUAAGUAAUUAAUAAAGUCCACAAAACCUAUACUAAAUAUGUUUUCACAAGACUUGUCAUUGUCCCGACUCUUAUAUGUGUUUUUGUAAUCAUUAUAGUACAAACACAACAAGGGAUGAGCAAGGUUAACUUAUCUUUAUUUAUGUAAAGCUGCUUUGAAACAAUUGACUUUUGUGAAAAGCGCUAUAUAAAUAAAAUUGAAUUGAAUUGAAUUGAAAAUCAAGACUUUGUGCUUGUUUACGGACGCGAUUACUCAAGUAUGUCAUGACAAGUUAUGAUAGGUUUAUGUCAAGUUGUCAUAACAAAGACAUCUCAAACAAUGUCAUCUUUGCAUUAAAAAUUACAUAAUUGAACGAAUGACACUUAAUGACCGUUGUCAUAAAUGUGCAUAAAAUCUUCUUCAUGUUCAUAAUCACAUUUUAUGAUCUAAUCAUUGGGCUUUAGACUUCAAAAUAAGCCAGAUCAGAGCCUUCUGCCUCCAUCCCGGCAGGGAGAGGCUGUCAGUAGUGAUGUACUGCCGUGAACCCUGCACCCUGCCCCCACAUAACAAGUACAUUAAUACUUUGUGUCCUCCUUCCUUGCGUCUUUCCUUGCUUGCAUCAAAGGAGGGUGGAGAUAAGACGCGGGAAAGGAAGCGAGUAAAGGAAAUGAGGAUGCACAAAUAAAAAUUGAGAAGCACCCAUUGCUAUCAUAUAUAAGAAAACUGGUGUGAAACAAUUGAAGCAAAGGACAGAUAUCACUACGUGUUUGGAGUUUAAUGAAAACAAACUUUCCACACCCUUACAGAAGCCUUGCAGCCUCACAAAGACACGGACAGAGUUUAGAUAAGAGAAGCAAGCUGCGUUCCUUAUAUAGCACUUUGAGUGGUCUUACUAAAAACAUGAGCAGCAGGUAUAUGCCUUUAAGAAGUGCACUGGUAUUCGUCUGCAUACUUGUGCAUCUGCACUGGAGCCAUGAACAGGGCUGUGAAAAGAGUGAAGACUGCAAAAACAAAGAUGUGUAUGACAAAACUGUGACAGCAAUA